This 331-nucleotide small nuclear RNA is filed under the name Nannospalax galili (Upper Galilee mountains blind mole rat). Its description in RNAcentral is "7SK RNA (ENSNGAG00000003851.1)". It matches the Rfam family "7SK RNA". From Rfam's summary of the family: 7SK was discovered as an abundant small nuclear RNA in the mid-70s but a possible function has only recently been suggested. Two independent studies have found that 7SK RNA binds the CDK9/cyclin T complex (known as elongation factor P-TEFb). P-TEFb activates transcription by phosphorylating the C-terminal domain of RNA polymerase II. The record is from RNAcentral. Lineage: Eukaryota; Metazoa; Chordata; Mammalia; Rodentia; Spalacidae.
GGAUGUGAGGACAAUGUGGCUGCGACAUCUGUCACCCCACUGAUCGCCAGGGUUGAUUCGGCUGAUCUGGCUGGCUAGGCGGGUGUCCCCUUCCUCCCUCAACGCUCCCCGUGCGUCCCUCCUGAAGCUGCGUGCACAGUCGAAGAGGACUACCUUCCUUGAUAGAGGAGGACCAGUCUUCCGUCAAGGGUAUACGAGUAGCUAUGCUCCCCUGCUAGAACCGCCAAACAAGCUCUCAAAGUCAAAGUAGACCCUCCUAACAAACAAUGGAGGACACCCAAUGAGAUCAAAGGGGCCUGCCAGUCAUGGAGCACCCUGCCAGAUCAAAUUU